GGNGCUCUCCCNUAUGGUCGACCUGCAGGCGGCCGCGAAUUCACUAGUGAUUAAGAGUUUGAUCCUGGCUCAGAUUGAACGCUGGCGGCAGGCCUAACACAUGCAAGUCGAACGGUAACAGGAAGCAGCUUGCUGCUUUGCUGACGAGUGGCGGACGGGUGAGUAAUGUCUGGGAAACUGCCCGAUGGAGGGGGAUAACUACUGGAAACGGUAGCUAAUACCGCAUAACGUCGCAAGACCAAAGAGGGGGACCUUCGGGCCUCUUGCCAUCGGAUGUGCCCAGAUGGGAUUAGCUAGUAGGUGGGGUAAAGGCUCACCUAGGCGACGAUCCCUAGCUGGUCUGAGAGGAUGACCAGCCACACUGGAACUGAGACACGGUCCAGACUCCUACGGGAGGCAGCAGUGGGGAAUAUUGCACAAUGGGCGCAAGCCUGAUGCAGCCAUGCCGCGUGUAUGAAGAAGGCCUUCGGGUUGUAAAGUACUUUCAGCGGGGAGGAAGGGAGUAAAGUUAAUACCUUUGCUCAUUGACGUUACCCGCAGAAGAAGCGCCGGCUAACUCCGUGCCAGCAGCCGCGGUAAUACGGAGGGUGCAAGCGUUAAUCGGAAUUACUGGGCGUAAAGCGCACGCAGGCGGUUUGUUAAGUCANAUGUNAAAUCCCCGGGCUCAACCUGGGAACUGCAUCUGAUACUGGCAAGCUUGAGUCUCNNANAGGGGGGGNUAGAAUUCCAGGUGUANCNGGUGAAAUGCGUANAGAUCUGGANGAAUACCNGGUGGNCGAANGCGGCCCCCUGGACNANACUGACGCUCA
This 809-nucleotide ribosomal RNA is filed under the name uncultured Enterobacteriaceae bacterium. RNAcentral's name for it is "bacterial SSU rRNA". It matches the Rfam family "Bacterial small subunit ribosomal RNA", at positions 1 to 749 of the family's 1533-position model. Lineage: Bacteria; Pseudomonadati; Pseudomonadota; Gammaproteobacteria; Enterobacterales; Enterobacteriaceae. The record is from RNAcentral.